AGGUUAACUAAGUCCAUGUGUUGAGAAGUUAGUUUACAUCGCGCUUGUUAGUGCUAUUUCAUGUUUCAUGGUAUUUCAAGCAACAUUAAAGUUUUGAAACCUCGUGACGCACGUAAUAAAUAUAAAUUCAACUUGUUUUUAAUACAUUUUCCUAACUCGGGUAUUUAUUCUUGACUGUUAAAUGAAUAAAGAUAGUUGUUCACUUAUGUCAGAACUUUCACAAGAAGAUGCGCAUCAAAGAGUUUUCAUAUUCCUCUACAUUGUUCCUGUCCCAUGUUUUGGACUCAAAACGAUGAGCAUAUUUUUAUUAGACAAAUGGCACAAUGUUUUACUUGUAACAAAUGGUUUCAUCGUGAAUGCAAAAGUAUUCCACUGCGUGCACAUGAGAAAGAAGAUGUUAUCUGGAACUGUCAUGACUGCCAGAUGCAAAUAACAGAAAACUGAAGUUAUUCUGUUUCCAGUUAAGGGUUUGCAAAAAAAUUUUUUUCUUGUACAGGCAGUUAUUAAUGGAUAAAAUAUUUAUAAAUAUAAAAAGACUACUAAAAUCGGUUCUUUAACCGUUACACUAAAAGUUGGGUUCCAAAAUAUUGGAAAGGUAACCUGUGAUAUUUAACUGCGUAAAGGUAACAACGUAAUGGUAUGAUCAAUUUGUUUCUGUGUUGGUAAGUUUAUUUGCAAUCUUGCACAAAAUAAUAUUGUAAAUGAUUUUUUGUAAAAGUGUACAAUGAAUAUUUGGUAAAUGUAAAUGAUAUAUGUUUUAUUGUAAAAUUUCAUUACAACUCAAUGAAGAAAAUUAUGCUAGUGAUGUUGCUACUGGGUAUCUUUUUGCAUAUAGUUUAUUCAUGGUUACAAAAUGAUACUGGGUUUGCAAUACUUUGGUAACGAUAACAACAAUCAAAUAAUACUGGAAAUGCAUGAUAGUUGGUAAAUAUAUCAACGAUGUUACUGGAAAUGCAAAUAGCUUGAUAAAUACAAUAACAAUUUAAUGUUACUUGGAAUGCAAACAUCUUGGUAAUGAUACCAGCAAUCCAGUUGUUGUUAUUGAAAAUGCAUAUAGCUUGGUAAUGAUACCAGCAAUCCUGUUGUUGUUAUUGGAAAUGCAUAUAGCUUGGUAAUGAUACCAGCAAUCCAGUUGUUGUUAUUAGAAAUGCAUAUACAGGCUUGGACGGGAAUGGCGUGCGAUUACGCACUUUGUUUGACCACACACAUAAAAAAUAUUUUUAUAAUUUGACCACGGUUGCUUAGACGUUUUUGACGAUAUGUUAGGUAUUUUUAAAGCAGUUCAGAAAUGCGUUCAAAAAAUAUUAACAAAACUAAAUUGAAAGGAACAUUAAAUAAACUUAAAAAAAAAGAAUAUCAACGAAAAAUAUAAUAAAAAACUUUAACUAAACUAAAAAAAUCGAACUCGAGGCGAUAGUUACUUUAAGUUACGUUUUUACGUUUCAAAUAAUUAACUUUAAUCUUCUGUGAUGUUCUAUAAAAGUUUCAGAAACACUUUUUCAAAUCACUUUUAACGACCAUUUAAUAAAUAA
Hydra vulgaris (swiftwater hydra) is the source of this 1532-nucleotide long non-coding RNA. RefSeq lists it as uncharacterized. NCBI's taxonomy places the organism in Eukaryota, Metazoa, Cnidaria, Hydrozoa, Anthoathecata, Hydridae. The record is from RefSeq and is a predicted model, not a curated record.